Molecule: ribosomal RNA, 638 nt
Filed under: uncultured fungus
Lineage: Eukaryota; Fungi
Description: bacterial SSU rRNA
Rfam family: Eukaryotic small subunit ribosomal RNA
Source: RNAcentral
GCCUCUGGCUCUUGGUGAUUCAUAAUAACUUAACGAAUCGCAUGGCCUUGCGCCGGGAUGGUUCAUUCAAAUUUCUGCCCUAUCAACUUUCGAUUGUAAGAUAGAGGCUUACAAUGGUUUCAACGGGUAACGGCGAAUUAGGGUUCGAUUCCGGAGAGGGAGCCUGAGAAACGGCUACCACAUCCAAGGAAGGCAGCAGGCGCGCAAAUUACCCAAUGCUAAUUCAGCGAGGUAGUGACAAUAAAUACUGAUACGGGGCUCUUUCGGGUCUCGUAAUUGGAAUGAGUACAAUCUAAAUCCCUUAACGAGGAACAAUUGGAGGGCAAGUCUGGUGCCAGCAGCCGCGGUAAUUCCAGCUCCAAUAGCGUAUAUUAAAGUUGUUGCAGUUAAAAAGCUCGUAGUUGAACUUCAGACCUGGCUGGGCGGUCUGCUUAACGGCAUGUACUGUCUGGCUGAGUCUUACCUCUUGGUGAGCCAGUGUGCCCUUUAUUGGUGUGCAUUGGGGAACCAGGACUUUUACCUUGAGAAAAUUAGAGUGUUCAAAGCAGGCCUAUGCCCGAAUACAUUAGCAUGGAAUAAUAAAAUAGGACGGUGCGGUUCUAUUUUGUGGUUUCUAGAGUCGCCGUAAUGAUUAAUAG